UGGGAUCCUUCAGAGAGCGGUGGAGCAAGGAAUCAUUUCACCUAAACAAUCCGGAUUAUUAUCUUCAGAACCUUCAGUGGCAUCAAUUUAUCUAUUACCCAAGAAACCCUUCCCUCGUAUUUGAAAGAUACAAAUGACGUUUUGCGGAAACUGGACCACCUUCAAUUGGAACCUGACAUGAUAAUGGCAACAUGCGAUGUUGAGUUAUUGUACACGUCCAUACGCCAUAAGGACGGCAUAGAUGCGGGGAAUAGAUCGAGUAUAUGUUGGAGUUCGUGGGGGGGGGGGGGAUUGGAAAAAACGGCUUGCUCAAAAAGAAUGCAGAUGGAUUGAAGUUUUGGGCACUAAAGUCCCAGCUGGACUAAACGAGAUCAACA
Molecule: long non-coding RNA, 377 nt
Organism: Hyla sarda
Lineage: Eukaryota; Metazoa; Chordata; Amphibia; Anura; Hylidae
Exons: 3
Source: RefSeq, a predicted model, not a curated record